CCAGCUCCAUCAGAGGCUCCUAAUCAGGCUUGUGCUCCAGACCCUUCUAGUAGUCAAGAGACAGAUGCAAUAACUUCAGGAACAACAACAUGACAGGAACAAGUAAGGAAAAAAGUACCUUUUAAGUAAGCAAAAAGAAGAAAAAGAACACUACGGAAAAAUGGUCUUGUCUGCAAUAAAACAUCCAGAUGAUGAGCACUGCUGAGGAGAGACUUCUAAUCCCCAACAUCUCUUAACACAAUAGACCUCAACCCCAGCUGAAGACUAGAUGCAAGACCGCCAAAAGUAAAUACUGUGGAUAUUUGUAGGGACUCAUAAAGCUCCUCUCAUGUUUCAGUUUUCAGUCUUCUCAUGUUUCACGUUUUCAGACCACUCAUUGUGACCUACAGUCAGCAGAGAGCACAGACCUUUGCAAUGCAAGACUUUGAUCUACAUCCUGCUGCACACGUUGGGUUGAGCAGAAACAACUUGUUUCCCAAGGCAGAGUGGAAGCAUGGGAAGACACUCAAGAAAAUAUUCUUGGGAAUACACUCGAGAAAAUAUUCUUGUGAGAGUGAAUAUGCUUGAAGCAUUUUGCCCUGGAAUCUGAAGAGUGUUUCUCUUGUGAAUAGGGAAGGGGAGCCCAGGCCUCACUGAGGACAGGUCAUUUAAUGUAAGGGCAGCUCUUUCCAAUGACAGUCAUAGAAUGGAAUCACAGCACAGUUUGAGUUGGAAGGAACCUUAAAGCACAUCUUCUUUCAGCCCCAAACCCUCUCUGCGCUGUCCUAAGGAAAGCAGCAGCUCCAUGUCCAGGAGUAUGUGGCUUUGGGGGUCGUUGCCAGUGCACUCAUGGACCAGCCUGACGCUCACCUUACAGGCUCGAUGCCCUCAGACCUGUCUCCUCACAGGACACUCCUAACAAAAGCCUCUGUCAGCAGAACAGUUCCUCCUAAACUUCCUGAUGGCUGAGAUCUGAAAAACAAGCGGGUGGACACCGAGGAUUUCCCCCUGAGGUCACUGAGAGCUCUAUAAAGGGCACUUGCAAGCUGAGUCCUUGUCCUGGGGCUUGCCUGGAUGAAAACGCUGUGCUGGGUUAGUGGUCAUACACCACAAAGUGGAUUCAUGCAUAAAACUGCCCUUUACCCUUCCUCCCUCUGGCUCCCAGCUCAUACCAGGCUGCACAAGCAACUCUCCAGAUCCCUACAAACUAUCUCUAUCACCACACACACCACAAAACUUCUCUAUGGAAUUAGUGCUGGGUUGAUCAAAAUAAAUCCUUAUUUAUCUGCUGCACACAACCGAGGGAUGGAGUGAUGAAGUGCAUUCUCUCACAUGCACUGACAGUCAAGUACCACAGUAAACAAAAAAUCCCAGGAAUGGACUCAUUUUCACAUACAUUUUGGAAACCAUGGGCUGCAUUCUGCCCAGUGCAGAAGGGAGCGGGAAAGGGAAUUGUCUCGAGGAAAAUAACCCUUGCAUUACUGUAUAAUCAACAAAAUUCCGUGACAUUAGUGCCUCAGCACUUCUUCCUCACACAACGUGUCACCUCAGCGGUUGACCACAGCUCCAUGAAGAGCUCCAGGCUGCAGACUGUGGAAAAGCCACAGUCAGAACAGCCUUGUACAAAUUCAGCAUAAACUUUCCUCCACAGAGAAGCGCUGUGAUCCAGCCUGCAUGUGUUUUCACUCAUAGGACACCUUCUCCCCAUCACAGGUCAAACUGCUUUAGGGAAGUGUCUGCUAUUAGCAUGUGCCUUUUGUUCCUCAGUAAAAAAAACCUGUUGUCGUUGUAUAAAUGAAAUAUCACCCAUCUUGGAAAAAAGGAAACGAAUCAAACUAAAAUAAAUGAAGUUUCUAGAUCACAGCAACCUACAGCUAUUGCACAACCCUGGUCUUUGCCAGCAUCACACUGUUAUGUGGCCUACCUAGAACCAAUGUGUGCCAGCAACAAAACUGUUUCCCAAAGCUGAAGGUCAGAAACCCAAAAACCAGCAAUGCUUCACUGCGCGAUUCCUUGAGGCCCCACAGGCCAAGGUCUCAUGGUUCAAUAGAACACAUCACACACAUGGAUGAGACCCCACAGACCAACACAGCCAACUCCUGAGGAAGACCAGUCUGGGUGAGCCCUGGCAGCCACCAGCCCACCACGGCCACAGGCAGCACUGGGAAUUUGAUUUCACUCCAGCCUUUCUUUGCUGUCCCAAGGAUUCAAAGACAAAAGGCAUCUCUACCAGGAAUGCCACUCCACCAGUGGCCGAGCAGACAGGGCACCUUCCUGGAAGAGACCUCCAGGAGAAGGGACACCAAAAGCUGUGCUAAACCCAAGACCUGAGGAGCAACAGCCAGGUUCAGCUGUGCUGGCUCAUUUCCCCCGUAAUGCAGCACUGUAACACACACCAGUGUGUUACUGCUUGGUGAAACACAUCCCUUUUGCCCUCUGAAAUUCUAGGAAUUAACUUUCAAAAAGAAGCGCAAACAUAUCAAGAAAUCAGCCAUUAUGUAAAACCUCUAAAAACUGACUGCAGCCUCACCACGACCCUGUCGUUCCAUUUCUCUUUCCAACAGGAAGGUUACUGCAAAUACUCCUACAGUAACACCGGCUGUUCCACAGCCUACCAAACUACCUGUAUCACUGGCUUGCUACAAACUCCCACCUGCAAUCAAUAGACCCCUCAGAAAUUUUUAAUUUUGUAACUUGUCCUCCAAAAGCCGCAGCACUCGGAGCAGCUCCGCUCCCUCGCGCUGCAGGAUGGGGACAGCAGGGAUGUCACACACCCUGGGGACGGGUGUGCUGAUUACACUUGGGAUACAGUUAGUUUUCUUCACAGUCACUAGUACAGGGCUACUUUCUGUUCUCUCUUCUCUGAAAGCUUGUUUCCUUUGAAAGUCACAGGGAUCCCACCUUCAGCUGCUGUCCACUGGUCCAGCUGCACUGCAGUUGGCUGUACCAAUCCUCAUUCAUUAAACCUGGAUCCCUAUAUUUUCCCUUCCCUGCUGUGUACACAGACCCUUCCAGGACCUUCCCCUGGCUGCAGAGGGUGUGGCAGUGUCCGUCCUCAGCAGGGAGAUGCUCCUGGCAGCACCUCAGAGGCUGCCAUAACCCAACCCCCAGGUGCCUACAGACAGCACCCUCACCAAAUUUCCAUCACCAAAUCCUGAAUAUGCCUGUUUCCAGAAUUCAAGCUCUGGAUGUGCAAGAGGAAGGCAGAGGAAGGAGAAGGACCUGCCCAAGGGGAUAAAAGUGUCUGUAGGUACUCCCUGGGCACAUCUAAAAAUGUCCAAGUAAUCUUGCUGUAUGAAGAACUGCCGUGCUGGUCUGUGAUCUCACACCCCACAAUUUCAGCAGUGUAAAGCUGCACCUCAGGCUGAUCUUUCUCACUCUUGUUUUCUUUUGAGGGAUAAUUUCCAGUUUCUGUGGAUAGAUCCAGAGUGAACCUCCAGACCCCAUGACAUUUGAAUCAAGAACUGGAGAAGAAACAGAGCUUUCUCCACUGCUAAAGGAGCUCGGGUGCUUUUCUUGUGCACAGGUAACAAAAUGGGUUUGGAUUUCAAGGUGGAUAGGCACAUCUGCACUGACAUUGGCAAAGGUGGGUUUGCAAAUAAUCAAGCUCUGAGGAGGGGAAAUGUGUUUCAAUCACUGGUUUUCAUCUUAUUGAAAUCAAAUGAUGCCUUUGCCGUCCUGUACCCGAGUCUGAGGGCUCACUUAUACCGAGCAAUGGGAGUGAUUUCACUGUACACAACCCUCUGGGUUAAACAUCUCCAUGGGAGGUCCCACAAGUCCAAGUUUUAGUGUUUCAGUUACUGAGGCUGCAUAAACACUUUAAACCAAACCAGCUGAGCGCUGUCAGAGCUGCUCUGCCCAGGCAACAUCAGUGACUUCGUACAGCAAUAACCACUUGUACAUGUGUGUAUUUAUACACAUAAAUACAACUCUGACUACUGCA
Pipra filicauda (Wire-tailed manakin) is the source of this 3922-nucleotide long non-coding RNA. RefSeq lists it as uncharacterized. NCBI's taxonomy places the organism in Eukaryota, Metazoa, Chordata, Aves, Passeriformes, Pipridae. The transcript has 2 exons. The record is from RefSeq and is a predicted model, not a curated record.